CUCUUAUUAAGAACUACUAGAUGAAGAUCGAUGAUGUAGUGGCAACCCUAUAUUAAAUUAGAAGGUGCCUAACUGAGCAAGUUUAUACUUGAACAAUGAGAG
This 102-nucleotide non-coding RNA is filed under the name Thomasclavelia ramosa DSM 1402. Its description in RNAcentral is "Clostridium ramosum DSM 1402 SAM riboswitch aptamer (S box leader)". It matches the Rfam family "SAM riboswitch aptamer (S box leader)". Rfam says of the family: The SAM riboswitch is found upstream of a number of genes which code for proteins involved in methionine or cysteine biosynthesis in Gram-positive bacteria. The SAM riboswitch acts at the level of transcription termination control. Lineage: Bacteria; Bacillati; Bacillota; Erysipelotrichia; Erysipelotrichales; Coprobacillaceae. The record is from Rfam by way of RNAcentral. RNAcentral also lists the same sequence under 1 other name.